UUUCCUAUAAUUAAAAAUUGGUCAUUACAAAAUAUGAUGAAAAAAUUGAUUCUAGUAAUUGCCACAACUUUGACCGUGUUGAAAAUUAAUGAAAUAAUGAAUUCCUGUUUGUUUAUAUUUUAUCUACUUAAUUGCUUCUUUUUUUUUGAUACGUAGGGAAUGUGUUUGAGCCAAUGAUUGCGACGAAAAUGUCAAAAACAUUGUUCAAGAAAUCAAAAUUGAGGAACUAUUCUGCUGUUUUCCGGUGGUUUGGAUAAGAGUAAUGAAAAGAUUUUUAGACCGAUUUUUGGAAAGGUGAAUUUCAGUAAUUUAGACCAAGUAAUUUUGUUUUUCAAAAUUCUUAAUAUGAAUGGUAAUUCAAUAUAUAUUUAUGAUUAAGUAUUGGUUCUAUAUAUUGCUUGGUUUCUCUUGUUAAAUGAAAUUAUAUACAGAGGCGGAACUAGGGGGGACGGGGGGUCAUCUGCCUCCGGUAGCGACGGCGGUCCAGGCAUAACUAGGGGCUGGGGCUGGGGCUGGGAUUGGGGCGUGGGCGGGCGGCGGGCGGCGGGCGGCGGGGGCGGUGGGGGGGGGGGGGCGCCAG
This 580-nucleotide long non-coding RNA is filed under the name Panax ginseng (ginseng). RNAcentral describes it as "long non-coding RNA (PGIN_LNC001836)". Lineage: Eukaryota; Viridiplantae; Streptophyta; Magnoliopsida; Apiales; Araliaceae. The record is from RNAcentral.